CCUACGGGAGGCAGCAGUGAGGAAUAUUGGUCAAUGGACGGAAGUCUGAACCAGCCAUGCCGCGUGCAGGAAGACGGCUCUAUGAGUUGUAAACUGCUUUUGUACAAGGGUAAACCUGAAUACGUGUAUUCAGCUGACAGUACUGUACGAAUAAGGAUCGGCUAACUCCGUGCCAGCAGCCGCGGUAAUACGGAGGAUCCAAGCGUUAUCCGGAUUUAUUGGGUUUAAAGGGUGCGUAGGCGGAUUGAUAAGUUAGAGGUUAAAUGUCCGAGCUUAACUCGGGAACUGCCUCUAAUACUGUUGAUCUAGAGAGUAGAUGCGGUAGGCGGAAUGUAUGGUGUAGCGGUGAAAUGCUGAGAGAUCAUACAGAACACCGAUUGCGAAGGCAGCUUACCAAUCUAUAUCUGACGUUGAGGCACGAAAGCGUGGGGAGCAAACAGGAUUAGAUACCCCAGUAGUC
Molecule: ribosomal RNA, 460 nt
Filed under: uncultured bacterium
Lineage: Bacteria
Description: partial 16S ribosomal RNA
Rfam family: Bacterial small subunit ribosomal RNA
Source: RNAcentral